Molecule: ribosomal RNA, 252 nt
Filed under: uncultured prokaryote
Description: partial 16S rRNA
Rfam family: Archaeal small subunit ribosomal RNA
Source: RNAcentral
ACCGGCAGCUCAAGUGGUGGCCAUUAUUAUUGGGCCUAAAGCGUUCGUAGCCGGUUUGAUAAGUCUCUGGUGAAAUCCCGCAGCUUAACUGUGGGACUUGCUGGAGAUACUAUCAGACUUGAGGUCGGGAGAGGUUAGGGGUACUCCCAGGGUGCGGCUGAAAUCCCAUAAUCCUGGGAGGACCACCUGAGGCGAAGGCGCCUAACUGGAACGAACCUGGCUGUGAGUAACGAGAGCCAGGGGCGCGAACCU